Molecule: long non-coding RNA, 2795 nt
Organism: Oncorhynchus tshawytscha (Chinook salmon)
Lineage: Eukaryota; Metazoa; Chordata; Actinopteri; Salmoniformes; Salmonidae
Source: Ensembl
GCUAGAAUAACACAUCAACCCUGUUACCUAUAGAUAGACAGGCUAGAUUGUUUUGUACAAUUACCUUUUUUUCUUGUGAAGCUUGCCUUCAACUGCCACUCCCUGUUUUACACAACAAUCUUCCAUUCCCCCUGUCACAAGGGGAUUUAUGACUGAUUUAAGAUGAAAUCGUCAACCCUGGUAAAAAAGAAAAAAAAAAAUGAUUUCAUCUAAUUUUAAUAUUCUGUCAUAAAUAGCACAAGUUCAACGUAAUAAAAAACACUUCCCAGUUUAAUAAAAAAAAAUCUCCCAAGUUACACUUCUCAAAAAUCAUCCGACUUGUUGGAACGACACAGUUGUUUACAUUAGGUCCCGUGGGUCAAAGGUCAUGUACACUGCAGUGUGUUUAUACAAUGUCUCUUUCUGUUUACUGGGGGUGUGACGUUUUUCCAAAUGUUUGGAAGCUUGUCAUCUCUUAACAUAUUUCACACUGCCACAUUCAAGGAGCAGAAGACUCAUUUGGACGCUUGUAAGAAAUCCUGCUACGCCCUCCGACGAACCAUCAAACAGGCAAAGCAUCAAUACAGGAGUAAAAUCAAAUCCUACUACACUGACUCUGAAGCUCGUCGGAUGUGGCAGGGGCUUGCAAACUAUCAAGGAUCAUAAAGGGAAUCCCGCCGCGAGCUAUGCCCGCUUCGAGGCAAACAACUGUGUAAUCAAUCUCUCUGUAGCCGAUGUGAGUAAGACCUUUAAACAGGUUAACAGUCACAAGGCCACAGGGCCAUUUGGAGUACCAGGACGUAUACCCUGAGUAUGCGCUGACCAGCUGGCAAGUGUCUUCACUGACAUUUUCAACCUCUCCCUGACCCAGUCUGUAAUACCUACAUGUUCCAAGCAGACCACCAUAGACCCUGUGCCCAAGAACGCCAAGGUACCCUGUCUAAAUUAUUAUCGCCCCUUAGCACUCACAUCUGUAGCCGACGGACUAAUCUGGGUUUGGCGGAUGCCAGGAGUACACUACCUGCCCCAAUGCAUAGUGACAACUGUAAAGUUUGGUGGAGGAGGAAUAAUGGUCUGGGGCUGUUGUUCAUGGUUUGGGCUAGACCUCUUAGUUCCAGUGACAUUCUAGACGAUUUUGUGCUUCCAACUUUGUGGCAACAGUUUUGGGAAUUCCCUUUCCUGUUUCAGCAUGACAUUGCCCUCGUGCACAAAGCGAGGUCCAUACAGAAAUGGUUUGUCGAGAUCGGUGUGGAAGAACUUAACUAGUCUGCACAGAGCCCUGACCUCAACCCCAUCGAACACCUUUUUUGAUGAAUUGAAAACGCUGACUGCGAGCCAGGUCUAAUCAACCAACAUCAGUGCCCGACCUCACUUAUGCCCUUGUGGCAGGAUAGAAGCAAGUCCCUGCAGGCAAUGUUCCAACAUCUGAAGAGUGGAGGCUGUUAUAGCAGAAAAAGGGGGACAAACUCCGUAUUAAUGCCCAUGAUUUUAGAAUGAGAUGUUCGACGAGCAGGGCCCAUAAGUAAGUAUUUCACUUUUAGUCUACACCUGUUCUUUACGAAGAAUGUGACGAAUACAAUUGUAUUUUAUUUUAUUUGACUCGACUGCACUUGCACUGCAUAUCCCUCACUGGUUCACUGCAUGUCCCUCAUCGGUUCACUGCAUGUCCCUCAUCGGUUCACUGUAUGUCCCUCAUCGGUUCACUGCAUGUCCCUCAUCGGUUCACUGCAUGUCCCUCAUCGGUUCACUGCAUGUCCCUCAUCGGUUCACUGCAUGUCCCUCAUCGGUUCACUGCAUGUCCCUCAUCGGUUCACUGCAUGUCCCUCAUCGGUUCACUGCAUGUCCCUCAUCGGUUCACUGCAUGUCCCUCAUCAGUUCACUGUAUGUCCCUCAUCAGUUCACUGCAUGUCCCUAAUUGGAACCGCCCUUGCUGUCUCUGCCUGGCCGGUUCCCCUCUUUCCACUGGGAUUCUCUGCCUCUAACCCUAUUACAGGGGCUGAGUCACUGGCUUACUGGGGCUCUCUCAUACCGUCCCUGGGAGGGGUGCGUCACCUGAGUGGGUUGAGUCACUGAUGUGAUCAUCCUGUCUGGGUUGCCCCCCUUGGGUUGUGCCGUGUCGGAGAUCUUUGUGGGCUAUACUCAGCCUCGUCUCAGCAUGGUAAGUUGGUGGUUGAAGAUAUCCCUCUAGUGGUGUGGGGGCUGUGCUUUGGCAAAGUGGGUGGGGUUAUAUCCUUCCUGUUUGGCCCUGUCCGGGGGUGGCCUUGGAUGGGGCCACAGUGUCUCCUGACCCCUCCUGUCUCAGCCUCCAGUAUUUAUGCUGCAGUAGUUUAUGUGUCAGGGGGCUAGGGUCAGUUUGUUAUAUCUGGAGUACUUCUCCUGUCCUAUUCGGUGUCCUGUGUGAAUUUAAGUGUGCUCUCUCUAAUUCUCUCUUUCUUUCUCUCUCUCGGGGGACCUGAGCCCUAGGACCAUGCCUCAGGACUACCUGACAUGAUGACUCCUUGCUGUCCCCAGUCCACCUGGCCGUGCUGCUGCUCCAGUUUCAACUGUUCUGCCUUAUUAUUAUUGGACCAUGCUGGUCAUUUAUGAACAUUUGAACAUCUUGGCCAUGUUCUGUUAUAAUCUCCACCUGGCACAGCCAGAAGAGGACUGGCCACCCCUCAUAGCCUGGUUCCUCUCUAGGUUUCUUCCUAGGUUUUGGCCUUUCUAGGGAGUUUUUCCUAGCCACCGUGCUUCUACACCUGCAUUGCUUGCUGUUUGGGGUUUUAGGCUGGGUUUCUGUACAGCACUUUGAGAUAUCAGCUGAAGUACGAAGGGCU